RNAcentral lists this ribosomal RNA (164 nucleotides) under uncultured bacterium. Its description in RNAcentral is "partial 16S rRNA". It matches the Rfam family "Bacterial small subunit ribosomal RNA", at positions 355 to 511 of the family's 1533-position model. The record is from RNAcentral.
UAGGGAAUCUUCCACAAUGGACGCAAGUCUGAUGGAGCAACGCCGCGUGAGUGAAGAAGAUCUUCGGAUCGUAAAACUCUGUUGUUAGAGAAGAACACGAGUGAGAGCAACUGUUCAUUCGAUGACGGUAUCUAACCAGCAAGUCACGGCUAACUACGUGCCAG